AUCAGAUAGAUUUUCUUCAGAAUUAAGGAUAUCAGAUGGUAAUUUAGUUCUUUUCAAUGAGUCCAAAGUCCCAAUUUGGUCAACAAAGUUGAACUCUAAUGCCUCAACUUCUGUAGAAGCAGUACUUGGUGAUGAUGGAAAUCUUAUUCUGAAUGGGUCUGGUUCAUCAGUACCUUUAUGGCAGAGUUUUGAUCACCCAGCCGAUACAUGGCUACCUGGCGCCG
Molecule: unclassified non-coding RNA, 224 nt
Filed under: Hevea brasiliensis (rubber tree)
Lineage: Eukaryota; Viridiplantae; Streptophyta; Magnoliopsida; Malpighiales; Euphorbiaceae
Source: RNAcentral